This 408-nucleotide long non-coding RNA is filed under the name Rattus norvegicus (Norway rat). RNAcentral describes it as "long non-coding RNA NONRATT008226". Lineage: Eukaryota; Metazoa; Chordata; Mammalia; Rodentia; Muridae. The record is from RNAcentral.
AUGGAACCGUUUGUGUGACUUUCUAAGUGGGAAGAUGUUCUAUUUGGGGACUGGGGUGCCGGGGAUCCUUGACCUCAAACCUCUCUAUUCCCUCCUGUCUUCCCCCAAAGCUCUAACCUAUAGGGUCUCUUUCAGCCUCUGCCACACACUGAAGACCAACACAGGCAGAGACUGGGACAAGGAGACAGGUGAGUGGCUGGACCCACUCCUUCAGUUACCUCCAGUAAAAGUGUGGUGUCUAAGAGAAGAUUGGGAGAGGAGAAUCCACCUUCCAGGCACAAAACGUCACUGGAGACGGGUAGGGUAGGGCAGGAAGGCAGUAGGGCAGGUCUGGGUACAUUUUUGUAGCAAAAGACAACUAGCAUGCGUGUUCAGUUUGGUACAGACAGUGCAGCGCUGGGCCAUGCU